RNAcentral lists this ribosomal RNA (1245 nucleotides) under Candidatus Phytoplasma citri. RNAcentral's name for it is "bacterial SSU rRNA". It matches the Rfam family "Bacterial small subunit ribosomal RNA", at positions 155 to 1399 of the family's 1533-position model. The record is from RNAcentral. Lineage: Bacteria; Bacillati; Mycoplasmatota; Mollicutes; Acholeplasmatales; Acholeplasmataceae.
AACAGUGGCUAAGACUGGAUAGGAAGAAAUAAGGCAUCUUUUUUCUUUUAAAAGACCUAGUGAUAGGUAUACUUUAGGAGGGGCUUGCGCCAUAUUAGUUAGUUGGUAGGGUAAUGGCCUACCAAGACGAUGAUGUGUAGCUGGACUGAGAGGUUGAACAGCCACAUUGGGACUGAGACACGGCCCAAACUCCUACGGGAGGCAGCAGUAGGGAAUUUUCGGCAAUGGAGGAAACUCUGACCGAGCAACGCCGCGUGAACGACGAAGUACUUUGGUAUGUAAAGUUCUUUUAUCAAGGAAGAAAAGCAAGUGGUGAACCAUUUGUUUGCCGGUACUUGAUGAAUAAGCCCCGGCUAAUUAUGUGCCAGCAGCCGCGGUAAGACAUAAGGGGCAAGUGUUAUCCGGAAUUAUUGGGCGUAAAGGGUGCGUAGGCGGUCUAGUAAGUCAGUGGUGUAAUGGCAACGCUCAACGUUGUCCGGCUAUUGAAACUGCUAAACUUGAGUUAGAUAGAGGCGAGUGGAAUUCCAUGUGUAGCGGUAAAAUGCGUAAAUAUAUGGAGGAACACCAGAGGCGUAGGCGGCUCGCUGGGUCUUAACUGACGCUGAGGCACGAAAGCGUGGGGAGCAAACAGGAUUAGAUACCCUGGUAGUCCACGCCGUAAACGAUGAGUACUAAGUGUCGGGUUAAACCGGUACUGAAGUUAACACAUUAAGUACUCCGCCUGAGUAGUACGUACGCAAGUAUGAAACUUAAAGGAAUUGACGGGACUCCGCACAAGCGGUGGAUCAUGUUGUUUAAUUCGAAGAUACCCGAAAAACCUUACCAGGUCUUGACAUGUUUUUGCGAAACGGUAGUAAUAUCGUGGAGGUUAUCAGAAACACAGGUGGUGCAUGGUUGUCGUCAGCUCGUGUCGUGAGAUGUUAGGUUAAGUCCUAAAACGAGCGAAACCCUUAUCGUUAGUUGCCAGCACGUUAUGGUGGGGACUUUAACGAGACUGCCAGUGAUAAAUUGGAGGAAGGUGAGGAUCACGUCAAAUCAGCAUGCCCCUUAUGACCUGGGCUACAAACGUGAUACAAUGGCUGUUACAAAGGGUAGCUGAAACGCAAGUUCUUGGCCAAUCCCCAAAAACAGUCUCAGUCCGGAUUGAAGUCUGCAACUCGACUUCAUGAAGUUGGAAUCGCUAGUAAUCGCGAAUCAGCAUGUCGCGGUGAAUACGUUCUCGGGGUUUGUACACACCGCCCGUCA